GUUUAGCCCCGAUUGAAGUGGUAUCCUUUUUAUUAGCUCUAUAAAAAAGACGUCAUUGCGAGGUACGAAGCAAUCUGUUGUUUAAUAUGAGAUUGCCACAGUUUAAAAAAAAAUAAAAUUCGCAAUGACAGUUAUAAAAAGAUAUAACGGAAAGCGGGAAAUAGC
RNAcentral lists this small RNA (165 nucleotides) under Polaribacter atrinae. RNAcentral describes it as "Flavo-1 RNA". It matches the Rfam family "Flavo-1 RNA". The record is from Rfam by way of RNAcentral. Lineage: Bacteria; Pseudomonadati; Bacteroidota; Flavobacteriia; Flavobacteriales; Flavobacteriaceae.